Molecule: long non-coding RNA, 213 nt
Filed under: Homo sapiens (human)
Lineage: Eukaryota; Metazoa; Chordata; Mammalia; Primates; Hominidae
Description: HSALNT0408233
Source: RNAcentral
UGGAGCUCGAGGCUGCCUCAAACGCAACUAAUAUUCAGUAAAGAUAAAUUGCCAAAGCUUCAGCUUCUAGGAAAGUUGUCAGUCAGGAUUGAGCCUGUCCAAGAACACAAGCAAUGCAGAGAAAAGCAGAGAUGAGUGACCAAGAUAAGGGAAAGAGAGACAUGAUGACAUCAUUCAGCCUCUGGAUCUAGCCAUGGGUAAGGGGCUGAAACA